This 476-nucleotide ribosomal RNA is filed under the name uncultured bacterium. RNAcentral's name for it is "bacterial SSU rRNA". It matches the Rfam family "Bacterial small subunit ribosomal RNA", at positions 36 to 524 of the family's 1533-position model. The record is from RNAcentral.
AACCUGGCGGCGUGCUUACCAUGCAAGUCAAGGGGGCCCGCAAGGGCAACCGGCGAACGGGUGCGUAACACGUGAGCAACCUACCGAAAUCUGGGGGAUAGCCGGCCCAACGGCCGGGUAAUACCGCAUACGCUCUUUCCACGGCAUUGUGGAUUGAGGAAACCUCCGGGGGAUUUCGAGGGGCUCGCGGCCUAUCAGCUAGUUGGCGAGGUCACGGCUCACCAAGGCGACGACGGGUAGCUGGUCUGAGAGGAUGGCCAGCCACAUUGGGACUGAGAAACGGCCCAGACUCCUACGGGAGGCAGCAGUGGGGAAUCUUGCGCAAUGGCCGAAAGGCUGACGCAGCGACGCCGCGUGUGGGAGGAAGCCUUUCGGGGUGUAAACCACUGUUGCCCGGGACGAACAGCUCCUUAGUGGAGCCUGACGGUACCGGGUGAGGAAGCACCGGCUAACUCCGUGCCAGCAGCCGCGGUAAU